This 440-nucleotide ribosomal RNA is filed under the name uncultured bacterium. RNAcentral's name for it is "partial 16S ribosomal RNA". It matches the Rfam family "Bacterial small subunit ribosomal RNA", at positions 338 to 795 of the family's 1533-position model. The record is from RNAcentral.
CCUACGGGAGGCAGCAGUGGGGAAUAUUGCACAAUGGGGGAAACCCUGAUGCAGCGAAGCCGCGUGAAGGAAGAAGGAUUUCGGUAUGUAAACUUCUAUCAGCAGGGAAGAAAAUGAUGGUACCUGACUAAGAAGCGCCGGCUAACUACGUGCCAGCAGCCGCGGUAAAACGGAGGGGGCAAGCGUUAUCCGGAUUUACUGGGUGUAAAGGGAGCGGAGGCGGUUUAGCAAGGCAGACGUGAAGGCCCGCGGCCACACUCCGGGACUGCUUUUGAAACUGUUGAACUAGAUUGCAGGAGAGGUAUGUGGAAUGCCUAGUGUAGCGGUGAAAUGCAUAGAUAUUACGAAGAACACCAGUGGCGAAGGCGGCUUACUGGACUGUAAAUGACGCUGAGGCUCGAAAGCGUGGGGAGCAAACAGGAUUAGAUACCCCUGUAGUC